Molecule: transfer RNA, 92 nt
Filed under: Streptomyces griseoluteus
Lineage: Bacteria; Bacillati; Actinomycetota; Actinomycetes; Kitasatosporales; Streptomycetaceae
Description: tRNA-His
Source: RNAcentral
UCGUGGGAGGAGCCGUGCUGGCUCCUCUACGCCUGUGGGGCGCAGGCGGUAACCGACCCGGUGGUGGUCGGGUCCGGCUCCUGGGCCGCGGA